Bos taurus (domestic cattle) is the source of this 1278-nucleotide long non-coding RNA. Lineage: Eukaryota; Metazoa; Chordata; Mammalia; Artiodactyla; Bovidae. The record is from Ensembl.
CCUCCCACGUGUAGCUGAUGGGUCACCCGGCGUGCUCUGCCUCCCAAGCAGCCAUGGGGAGCUGGGAACCCAGGGGCCUUAGAACUGGAAGCUCAGCCCUGUCACUUAGAGGCUGUGUGACCUUGGACAAGGCCUAACCUCACAGAACCUUGGUUUCCUUGCCAGUAGAUGGAGCUAAGAAUGCUGACCUCAGGAGUUUAUGUGUGCAGCGUGCUAAGUCGCUUCAGUCCUGUCUGACUCUUUGGAACCCCAUGGACUGUAGCCCGCCAGGCUCCUCUGUCCAUGGGAUUCUCCAGGCAAGGACACUGGAGUGGGUUGCAGUGCCCUCCUCCAGGGGAUCUUCCCGACCAGGGAUUGAACCCAAGUCUCUUACAUCUCCUGAAUUGGCAGAAGGUCAUGUGACAAUAGGAGCAGAGACGGGUGACGCAGCUGCUAAUCAAGGAUUGAGACCACCACCAGACGCUAAGAGAAGGGCAGGGAAGGAUGUGACCCACAGGCUCAGAGGGAGUAUAGCCCCACUGAUACCCUGAUUUCACACUUCUGGCCUCCAGAAUGAUUUGGUGGCCACUCUAUAUGUGCUGCUGCUGCUGCUGCUAAGUCGCCUCAGUCGUGUCCGACUCUGUGCGACCCCAGAGACAGCAGCCCACUAGGCUCCUCUGUUCCUGGGAUUCUCCAGGCAAGAACACUGGAGUGGGUUGCCAUUUCCUUCUCCAAUGCAUGAAAGUGAAAAGUGAAUGUGAAGUCGCUCAGUCGUGUCCAACUCUUAGCGACCCCAUGGACUGCGGCCUACCAGGUUCCUCUGCUAGAUGUUUUUAAAUACGUUAUCUUCUUAAAUCUUUCCUGUUGUCCUGUAAGGUUUGCCUUGAAAAUGAAAGUCACUCGGUCAUGUGCGACUCUUUGUGACCCCAUGGACUUAGUCCAUGGAAUUCACCAGGCCAGAAUGCUGGAGUGAGUAAGCCUUUCCCCUUCUCCGGGGGACCUUCUCAACCCAGGGAUCGAAUCCAGGUCUCCCACAUUGCAGGCGGAUUCUUUACCAGCUGAUCCACAAAGGAAACCCACGAAUACUGGAGUGGGUAGCCUAUCCCUUGGCCAGGGGAUCUUCCCUACCCAGGAAUCGAACUGGGGUCUCCUGCGUUGCAGGCGGAUUCUUUACCAACUGAGCUAUGAGGGAAGCCCUAGGUUUGCUUUAGAAGCUCCAUUUCACUAAAAAGAAAACAAAGAAUCAGAGAGGUUAAGUUACCUCUCCGAGGUCACACAGCUUGUAAGGGCCAGGGUCAA